Molecule: long non-coding RNA, 910 nt
Organism: Echinops telfairi (small Madagascar hedgehog)
Lineage: Eukaryota; Metazoa; Chordata; Mammalia; Afrosoricida; Tenrecidae
Exons: 3
Source: RefSeq, a predicted model, not a curated record
CAAAGUGAACAGAUUUCAGCAGGCAGCGAGGAACUUGGCUCCCCACUUCAGAGGACGGAGCCCCUGAAAACUUUAUGCAGAGCUUGGAAAACCUGCCCCUGCCUCAGGCUUCUUCUUCCUGCUUCUGAGAUGGCUCACUGUGACACCCUGUGAAAUGGCAAAAUCAACCCCAAGUAGAAAUUCAUGGUUCGUGUCAACAGCACACAAAUAAUCAUCUCAGAUCGCUUCAGUGUUUCAUGUGUCUGAAUCUAGCCCAAGAUGGUGGCUUCUUCACUGCACACUCCAAGGACGAUGACAUUUCCCCUGACCCAGUACAAAGCUACCCAGGGGCCAUCCAUUCAAACAGCACUGCAGCAGUAGUUCAGGGGGUUCGUACAAAUGAUAGCAUUAAUCUCCAUGACAAAACUAAAGCAUUGUUUGCAUUUCUUAAUCUCUUGAUAUUUUCACGGAUGAUACAAAAGCAAUCAUGGCUAUUGAUCUUCUCUCACAUAUCAAGUCAGUGACACUACUAGACUAGUAAUCAUUACUUUCCUCACUACCAGGCAUUCAAAGGGGAAAAAGGCCACAUUCCUUAAGAAAUUCCUUGAAGCAGUAAAAAAUGAUUACAUUUUUUACAUCUGAGACCUAGGAUAUGAGCGAGCACAUUUCAAGGCACUGCUACCAAACCACAAAACCACUAUUAAAUAAAAAUAUCAAAAUAUGAAGCUACUGUUUCUCGACACAGCCUCCACCUAGCUCUAUACACAUCUGGAGGUGGCGUUUCCAUCUAACACGUCCCUAAAGAAUUCUGCACUUUCGUUCUUUGAUUUACACUGUGUCAAAAUGUGUGGCAUCUUCGACAGUUUCAUAUUGUGCUCCUUUUCAACAUUCUUUGAGUUUGAGGAACGAAAGGAAGUCUAAAGGGGCAGAA